Molecule: small RNA, 1070 nt
Filed under: uncultured bacterium
Lineage: Bacteria
Description: bacterial SSU rRNA
Rfam family: Bacterial small subunit ribosomal RNA (bases 1-489)
Source: RNAcentral
AUGGCUGUCGUCAGCUCGUGUCGUGAGAUGUUGGGUUAAGUCCCGCAACGAGCGCAACCCUUGUCCUAUGUUGCCAGCGGAUAAUGCCGGGGACUCGUAGGAGACUGCCGGGGUCAACUCGGAGGAAGGUGGGGACGACGUCAAGUCAUCAUGGCCCUUAUGGGCAGGGCUACACACGUGCUACAAUGGCCGGUACAGAGGGCAGCGAUGUCGCAAGGCGGAGCAAAUCUCAGAAAACCGGUCGUAGUCCGGAUUGCAGUCUGCAACUCGACUGCAUGAAGUUGGAAUCGCUAGUAAUCGCGGAUCAGAAUGCCGCGGUGAAUACGUUCCCGGGCCUUGUACACACCGCCCGUCACACCAUGGGAGUGGGCUGUACCAGAAGUAGGUAGUCUAACCUUCGGGAGGACGCUUACCACGGUGUGGUUCACGACUGGGGUGAAGUCGUAACAAGGUAGCCCUAGGGGAACCUGGGGCUGGAUCACCUCCUUAAAAGAAGUGUGAAUCUUUCGUUUUAAGCGCCCACACAAUCUACUUAAUCAGUUCACCGACCGCGGGUCUGUAGCUCAGUUGGUUAGAGCGCACCCCUGAUAAGGGUGAGGUCGGAAGUUCAACUCUUCCCAGACCCACCAGGUUGCCUCCGCAAUAGAGGUUUACCAAUCGGGGCCAUAGCUCAGAUGGGAGAGCACCUGCUUUGCAAGCAGGGGGUCGGCGGUUCGAUCCCGCCUGGCUCCACCAGGUGAUAAACGAUAGUGAUUUAGGCCACUAUCGUUUAUUUCCUGACGAAGUCGGGUCAGCGGACGCUCUUUAACAAUUUAGUAGUAGUGAUAUACGACGGUGAAGUCGAGCCUGUUUCAGGCGAGGCUUUACUGGGUAUACCAGCAUUUAUCAGUAGAUGUAUUCGAUAUAUCCCAAAGGGAUCAGUCUUUUUGGGGUUAUAUGAUCAAGCGACCAAGCGCGCAUGGUGGAUGCCUAGGUGGUAAGAGGCGAUGAAGGACGUUGUAGCCUGCGAUAAGCCUCGGGGAGCCGGCAAACAGGCUUUGAUCCGAGGAUUUCCGAAUGGGGAAACCCGG